CCCUACGGGUGGCUGCAGUUUCGAAUCAUUCACAAUGGGCGAAAGCCUGAUGGUGCGACGCCGCGUGAGGGAUGAAGGUCUUCGGAUUGUAAACCUCUGUCACUGGGGAAGAAACGCUUUGAGCUAACAGUUCAAAGCCUGACUUAACCCGGAGAGGAAGCAGUGGCUAACUCUGUGCCAGCAGCCGCGGUAAUACAGAGACUGCAAGCGUUAUUCGGAUUCACUGGGCGUAAAGGGUGCGCAGGCGGCCAUGUGUGUGAGGUGUGAAAGCCCGGGGCUUAACCCCGGAAUUGCACCUCAAACUACACGGCUAGAGCAUUGGAGAGGGUAGCAGAAUUCACGGUGUAGCAGUGAAAUGCGUAGAUAUCGUGAGGAAUACCAGAGGCGAAGGCGGCUACCUGGACAAUUGCUGACGCUCAGGCACGAAAGCGUGGGGAGCAAAAGGGAUUAGAUACCCCUGUAGUC
RNAcentral lists this ribosomal RNA (465 nucleotides) under uncultured Opitutus sp. RNAcentral's name for it is "bacterial SSU rRNA". It matches the Rfam family "Bacterial small subunit ribosomal RNA", at positions 337 to 795 of the family's 1533-position model. The record is from RNAcentral. Lineage: Bacteria; Pseudomonadati; Verrucomicrobiota; Opitutia; Opitutales; Opitutaceae.